ACGGAGGGUGCAAGCGUUGUUCGGAAUCACUGGGCGUAAAGCGCGUGUAGGUGGUCUUUUAAGUCUGGUGUGAAAGCCCGGGGCUUACCCCCGGAAGGGCACUGGAUACUGGAAGACUAGAGUACCGGAGAGGAAGGUGGAAUUCCUGGUGUAGCGGUGAAAUGCGUAGAUAUCAGGAGGAACACCGGUGGCGAAGGCGGCCUUCUGGACGGCUACUGACACUGAGACGCGAAAGCGUGGGGAGCAAACAGGA
Molecule: ribosomal RNA, 253 nt
Filed under: uncultured prokaryote
Description: partial 16S ribosomal RNA
Rfam family: Bacterial small subunit ribosomal RNA
Source: RNAcentral